GGUUACUCAUCUGGCCAAAGUUGAAGCACGUUCAAAACCAAAUCCAGGAAGAUGUGAAGAAAAUAAUGUCUCAGAGUUUACACAUGCCUACAAUUGGUUCAAGACAGUCGACUAGUAGACAUAAUGAUCAUCACUUGACCAAACCAAGUUUUCUUGCUUCCUGUAGCAUAUUUGGUCCAAAGGGAAUUGGAGUUGUUACUCGAAUAGCUGCCAUGACAACGGAAUCAGUGU
This 231-nucleotide unclassified non-coding RNA is filed under the name Hevea brasiliensis (rubber tree). Lineage: Eukaryota; Viridiplantae; Streptophyta; Magnoliopsida; Malpighiales; Euphorbiaceae. The record is from RNAcentral.